GUCAGAGCUUCUGUCGUUUUAUAUCAAGGGGAUGUUAAGGGGGUGCGAGUGCCGUAGCUGUUUCGGGAUUCGCGGUCGCCAGAAGGGGGUGCCGGUUGGGCGGGGUGUCGGACUCGGAAUAUAACCGACGUGCGGUCAGGUAUGCAGGUUUUUAUACACACCGAUCCAACAGGUAUUCUGUGCGUGCAACGCGGAGCAACAAAUACGAAACAGCGAUCGGAGGUUAAAAGCCCCUCCGGACAUACGCGAAAUCCUUAACAACCCGGAGACUUUUCAUGGGACAGUAACGAGGAUAUAGCGAAAAGCCGUGGAUGGGUUCUUUGAAUGUUCAAGGCCCCCGAGGGAAGUCCAAGCUCGAGGCAGGGUUGUAAAGUCUGGUAAUCCUUCUUGUACAUCUCUCUGUUGCUCACCUGGC
Long non-coding RNA from Athalia rosae (coleseed sawfly), 415 nucleotides. RefSeq lists it as uncharacterized. NCBI's taxonomy places the organism in Eukaryota, Metazoa, Arthropoda, Insecta, Hymenoptera, Athaliidae. The record is from RefSeq and is a predicted model, not a curated record. The transcript has 3 exons.